This 353-nucleotide ribosomal RNA is filed under the name uncultured bacterium. RNAcentral describes it as "partial 16S ribosomal RNA". It matches the Rfam family "Bacterial small subunit ribosomal RNA", at positions 338 to 688 of the family's 1533-position model. The record is from RNAcentral.
CCUACGGGUGGCAGCAGUGAGGAAUAUUGGUCAAUGGGCGCAAGGCUGAACCAGCCAAGUCGCGUGAAGGAAGAAGGUUCUAUGGUUUGUAAACUUCUUUUAUAGGGGAAUAAAGGUAUCUACGUGUGGAUAUUUGCAUGUACCCUAUGAAUAAGCAUCGGCUAACUCCGUUCCAGCCGCCGCGGUAAUACGGAGGAUGCGAGCGUUAUCCGGAUUUAGUGGGUUUAAAGGGUGUGUAGGUUGUUUUUGAAGUCAACGGUGAAAGUUUGUGGCUCAAACAUAAAAUUGCCGUUGAAACUGGAAGACUUGAGUGUGUUUGAGGUAGGCGGAAUGGGUGGUGUAGCGGUGGAAUG